AACACUGAAACGGUUUGAAAUUGAUUUCAUGUCAUUUAUUUUGUUAUUAUUUUUUUAGCCCCCAUGUUACUAAAGAUAAUGCUCAUCCUCCAGUGACUAAACUGCAACUAAAACUGGACAACAUAUGUCUGUGGGCUUUAAUACAGUAUAUAUGGCAGCAGCAUGCAUUAUGUGUCCGUACUGAAUUGUACUCUGUGCUGAUUUUACUCCUUUAUACAUAUUCUAACUUGAAAGCUAUUCCUUGUCCUUGUAAUGUGAAUCUUUCCAUGGUUGUCAAACUUAUGUGGAUUUUAAUGCUGCACAUGAAUUGCCUUCUGGGGACAAUAAAGAGCUAAUGAAAGUAAAAGUGUUCUUAUUUAAUGUUAUUUAAUUGAACAAUGACAGCACAAUCCAACUUCAGAGGCUGGAAUUUAAUGAUUGAACCACUGGAAUAUAACAAUAGGAGGAUAACAAUUUGAAUCACUUGUUCAAAUCAGAAUCAAAUCAGAAAUCCUUGGGCUGUGUUAAUGGACCCUGCCAGGCUCAGGUCUGGAUGCAGGCAUCUAGUUAAUAGGUGGGUUGAUUAUCUUAGCUGGGCUGUUUCGAUGUGGAGUUGAAUAUCUAACCUGAGGAAAUUUCAGUGUUGGAGUAAAUGAUCUUCCAGGGACUGGGUUAAUAGGCUGUGUUGAUUGUCUUAGCAGAGGAUGCAUCAGAGUAGCAGUUGAUUAUCUCUAUAAAGUGAAGUUCACUUAACUGCGGACCUAUUGGUGUGGGAGUUCAUUAUCUCACUGAGAAAAUAUCAGUAUGGGAGUUAAUUAUUCUCCCUGGGCUGUGUCAAUGGGGAGUUGGUUAUCUUAGCUGAGGACAUAUCGGCGAGAGAGUUCAUUAUCUUUACUGGACAGUUUUAAUGUUUCGCUGAGGAAAUUUCAAUGUUGUCAGUUGUCUUCCUGGAGCUGUAUUAAUAUGGAGUCUAUAAUCCACAUCAUAGCCUGGAAAAUCGGACGCAUUUGUGUUUUAAACAUUAAAUAUUUUCCACUUCUCCAUGGUAUGAAAACUGCCAUGCUUGUAAAACGUUUGAGAUUAAAGCUUCAUGCCACCAUUUCAAAAGCGGCUUUUCAAACUCGACUUAAGGGUUUAUCAUUGUAACAUUAAGAAUGGGAGUGCAUCAGCGCAGAUUCUUUUGUUAAAAUUACCAAAAUGUUGUCAUUAUUUUAAAGUACAGUGCUGUUGUAUGACAUUUCAUUAAUUAUUUUCUUAACGAUGGCUCCAAUCCGGGCCGUCUGUAUUAAACGAGUAGGAAUGCUGGCUCCGUCUUGUGGACAUAAAACGCACCUGCAACAGAGUACCCGAAUGUCCGCGCACCUGUCAUCAAUCACCAUUAAAGCACGGGUAAAACACAGCUCUCGGCUACGUUUAGGAACACAAAUUCGGUUGUUGUGGAGGAAGUUGAGCUGAGCAGACUCGGGGAGUGCUUCGGAGGCAUCGGUGCUGGGCUUCAUAUGUCCCCUGAUUCAGAAUGCUGCUCCCCGACUUGUCUUCAACCUUCCCAAGUUCUCCCAAGUCACUCCUCUGCUGAGUUCACUCCACUGGCUACCGGUCGCUGCCAGGACCAGGUUCAAAGUCCAGAUCCUCGCCUACCCUGCAGCCAACAGGACGGCCCCCGGCUACUUACAGGACAUGAUUCAAUCCUACACGCCAGCUCGACCACUUCGCUCUGUGGAAACAGGGCCACUUGCACCCCUGCCAUUCGGAUGAAUCUGGGAUAAUUUUUAUCACUUAAAUUCCCCUCUUUUAUGCUACACAUGUACCUCCUCUGCCAAUUUCAUGUUACCUGUACCGCCAUCCAGCACUUAUACUGUACUUUGUAACAUUAUCUUAAUGUUGUAGCUUGUCAUGCCUCCUAGUUUUACUUAGCAGAGGUUAGGUCAGAGUAAUGUUGUAAUGUAAUGUGUGAACUGGACUUAACGUGUUCAUGGCUAUGAAUAACUGUUACAAAAUGAGUAUUGUGCCUUAUUGGAUCUGUGUUCUCUAGUUGUUCCAAUGACCUUCUUUAUGCACUUAUUGUAGGUCACUUUGGAUAAAAACGUCUGCCGAAUAAUGCAAUGUAAUGUCAGGAGUUUGCCUCCUCCUGCUGGACAGAAAAUGGCAUUACAGCAGAGGAAAUCCGAUUUAAAAAAUGUUGCAAUGAACAAGUCGAUUUGUAUGGUUAUCAAAUGUAUGUGGAUUUUAAUGCUGCACACAAGUUGCCCUCUGGGGAUAAUAAAGAUCUACUGAAAUCGAAA
Anguilla anguilla (European eel) is the source of this 2261-nucleotide long non-coding RNA. RefSeq lists it as uncharacterized. The record is from RefSeq and is a predicted model, not a curated record. The transcript has 2 exons. Lineage: Eukaryota; Metazoa; Chordata; Actinopteri; Anguilliformes; Anguillidae.